This 510-nucleotide ribosomal RNA is filed under the name uncultured bacterium. RNAcentral's name for it is "partial 16S ribosomal RNA". It matches the Rfam family "Bacterial small subunit ribosomal RNA", at positions 28 to 507 of the family's 1533-position model. The record is from RNAcentral.
GACGAACGCUGGCGGCGUGCUUAACACAUGCAAGUCGAACGAAGAGCGAUGGAAGCUUGCUUCUAUCAAUCUUAGUGGCGAACGGGUGAGUAACGCGUAAUCAACCUGCCCUUCAGAGGGGGACAACAGUUGGAAACGACUGCUAAUACCGCAUACGAUCUAACCUCGGCAUCGAGGAAAGAUGAAAGGUGGCCUCUAUGUAUAAGCUAUCACUGAAGGAGGGGAUUGCGUCUGAUUAGCUAGUUGGAGGGGUAACGGCCCACCAAGGCGAUGAUCAGUAGCCGGUCUGAGAGGAUGAACGGCCACAUUGGGACUGAGACACGGCCCAGACUCCUACGGGAGGCAGCAGUGGGGAAUCUUCCGCAAUGGACGAAAGUCUGACGGAGCAACGCCGCGUGAGUGAGGACGGCCUUCGGGUUGUAAAGCUCUGUUAAUCGGGACGAAAGGCCUUCUUGCGAAUAGGGAGAAGGAUUGACGGUACCGGAAGAGAAAGCCACGGCUAACUACGUG